UGAAUACGGCAAAUAACUAGAAUGAAGUCAUAACAAGUGUACUACGUGGCCGCGUUAUAAGUUUAUAAAGGCCAGCCAACAGGCAAAAAGAAGAAAAAAAAGACCUGACUGAGUCACCUGACCAAUAUGGCGAUUACAUCAUUGAUGCGUUAGACGAAAGGCAGUUUUGAGAAUUAAUUUCCUUUAGUUUUAUCUACCAAAUUAGCUACUUAUAUAUGGAGAAUAAUAAACAUUGGCCAGUGGGCAUUGUAAAUUAUUGUAUUACCUUUGAAGAGAUGAAUCAUUGAUUAUGGUAGAGAAUUGCAUUAAUAAGGAAAGGUUUGGAGGGUUGACAUCAGAAGAUCACAUAGUUACACUACUUACUCCCUACUGCAGUCUUUUGCAUGGAUUUUUUCACAACAAUGGAUAACACAAAAAUAUGUUUUCUUUAUUGCUUGUUAAAGUACGGCUAACAAGCCCAAUGCAAUUGGAUCUGAGGUCUUUUAUCUCCCCUUGUUAGUUGCCAUGAAAUUGCAAGCUUUAACAGAACUCUGCUGGCUUUCUGGUGCCCACGUCUUUCAUAUCACAGGGCACAAGAAAAGCCUUUCUUAUCCACAUGAGUCAACAUUUUGAGAUGGCUGGACGGACCACACAGAGAUGGUCUGCCGACUCCUAUUGCAAAAUCUACAAACUUCUUUGUCACUCAGUCCUAGUCUCUUAAGGUGUUUCCAGAGAGGCCCAUGAUCCGUUAAAUCUGAAGUCUUAGUUGUUCUUUUGGUAAGGUCAAAGCCAUUUUGUUACCUUCCUGUAGCGGGUGUAUGAAUAGUUUUGACAUUCUUAAUCCUCGGGAAUUAUGCUUUGAAACUUUUAACUUUUUAUUCCCUAUUCUUUACAAACCCCUUGUCAUAACUAAAGGCCAUACUAAAACAAGGUCCCAAACCUAUCAAUGUGGAUUCUGCCCUCUUUCUUGCCAGUGAGUGCCUCUUCAUUUCCUCUGAUGCCUUGGCCCGGUACUCACACCAACUCUACUUGGUUAUAUUUAGUUCCUUUAACAUGUGGUGGCAACUAAACACCAGCAUUAGAUUAAACUUGUAGUCUCUUAAUAGCUGCCUGGCUGUCUGAGAGAAUAAGAAUUUUUUGCUUUAUUAUAUUUCUUGGUUAUCAUUAGUUGUGCACAUUCUUAUAUGGUUCCAACUUCUGCUUGAAACAGUGGCUAUUGAACCUAAAGCCAGAAUAUGUCUUAUGCUUGGCUCUAAGACCCAGUCCCGAAGCAGUCCCCAUUCACGAGCUAUCCAUAUAGAACACAACUAGCCUCUAUCCUGAGAAUCUCUGACUUUCUCCAGUGACUCUUUUUUACUUCCUGUAGUAACAUUGAGUGGUAUUUCAAAAUUAAACUUGGUUUUUAUGUCUGAGACUGUAUAGAUUAUGUCUGAUUUCUUUAUUUCUUUUAGAAUGGAUAUGUGUCGCAUUCCAUUUGUAUUUUUUAGUAUUUCCUCUUUAUGAUUUCCUUAUUUUCUAAGGCGAUUUCCACAACUAAACAAUGCAGUGCUGUUGUUAUUGUGGAUUUUCUGAAUGUAAACACAUGCUGAUUUACAUGCAAAGGGGAGUUUCUGAUUACCUCAUCCCUUACAUAUCUGUUCAGAAAUUCAGAAAAGGCAGUGAGACUUUUUGGUGUAUAGGAGGUUUGGUUAGUGUUGUCUCUGUUUCCCUUGUCACUAAUGAACACAACGACUUCUUGACGACUUUUGGGAUAUACUCUAAACAGAAACUUGCUCUAAAAGUUGUUACUAGAUGUGUAGACACUAUGUCUGCCCCUCUUUGAAGUAGUGCGGUGUAAAUCCUGUCUGCCCUGGGUUUUGAAUUGUUUAAAGGACGUAAUGGCCCAUUCUACCGUUUUGUUCUUUUUUUUUAUGAAAAUUUUCAAGCAGGUGUUUUGGCCCACAUUCCUUUCUUGCGUGAUCUUCUAAUGCGCGGUACACUAAUUAUCCUCUCCCCUAUUAUAUUCUCCCUGGGGAAGUGGGUCCCAACAGUAUGUGCUUUGUUUCAAUUCAUUUUGUUAUAUAUUCCUCUUUUUCCAGUGAUGCUAUCAUGCUCCUUUGUUCCCUCUGUAAGAUGUUUUGUACUCUUGAGGCUUUUGGAAGACGUUACAAGUCUUGAUAAAACUUCCUCCAGGAUUGUGUUGUGCUUCUUAGUUCCUUUUUAUAUUUUGUAUAUUUGCCUUUCUGUACUUUUCCCAGUUAUUGCUCUUCUUAACCUUGUUAAAAAGAUGGCACGCUCUUGCCCUAAGGAUUGCAAACCUACCAGGAUACUCCUCUUUUAUACUUUUUAACCUUAAGACAGCAAUUUCCCUCAAAAGCUCCUAUGAUAGCUUCAUCCAGUUUUUGAGUAUACAGUUCUUUGUUAGCGAUGCCCAUCCCAGUCAUUUGAUUUAUAGUGACAGUAGUGAGUGUCUUUUAUUGCGUAGGCCCCAAAAUCAAAUUAAUGUAUCUAUGAUCUAUGUAGCAAGGAGAUUUACCCCCUUACAUGUCAAUCCGUCACCUCAUAGUUUGCAUAACCACUAGUGUUAAAUCUAGAACCUCCCUCCUUGAUCUUAUUACAAAGUAAGGUUUGUUUCUUGCAUUGAAUAUAUUUAGAUAAUAUAAAACAAAUCAUGUUGUCAUUUCUCACCUCUUACAUUAGGGUUGUUACUUCCCCAGACGGCAUGGUAUGUGUUAAUAUCACAUCCUAACACUGAUGCCUUUUCUUUGGCAGUAUAUUGUGAGUUCUAUGUCUGGAGGAGGACAAUCUCUUCCAGGAUUUGGAAAAUACACUGAGUCAGCAAAUAUAUCCUGUUUUCCCCUUGA
Molecule: long non-coding RNA, 2822 nt
Filed under: Homalodisca vitripennis (glassy-winged sharpshooter)
Lineage: Eukaryota; Metazoa; Arthropoda; Insecta; Hemiptera; Cicadellidae
Description: uncharacterized LOC124373289
Source: RNAcentral